This 484-nucleotide ribosomal RNA is filed under the name uncultured bacterium. Its description in RNAcentral is "partial 16S ribosomal RNA". It matches the Rfam family "Bacterial small subunit ribosomal RNA", at positions 29 to 507 of the family's 1533-position model. The record is from RNAcentral.
AUUGAACGCUGGCGGCAUGCUUUACACAUGCAAGUCGAACGGCAGCGCGGGCUUCGGCCUGGCGGCGAGUGGCGAACGGGUGAGUAAUGCAUCGGAACGUGCCCAGUAGUGGGGGAUAGCCCGGCGAAAGCCGGAUUAAUACCGCAUACGACCUGAGGGUGAAAGCGGGGGACCGAAAGGCCUCGCGCUAUUGGAGCGGCCGAUGUCGGAUUAGCUAGUUGGUGGGGUAAAGGCUUACCAAGGCGACGAUCCGUAGCUGGUCUGAGAGGACGACCAGCCACACUGGGACUGAGACACGGCCCAGACUCCUACGGGAGGCAGCAGUGGGGAAUUUUGGACAAUGGGCGCAAGCCUGAUCCAGCAAUGCCGCGUGCAGGAAGAAGGCCUUCGGGUUGUAAACUGCUUUUGUACGGAACGAAACGGCUCUGGUUAAUACCCGGGGCUAAUGACGGUACCGUAAGAAUAAGCACCGGCUAACUACGUG